This 949-nucleotide ribosomal RNA is filed under the name uncultured Bacillota bacterium. RNAcentral describes it as "bacterial SSU rRNA". It matches the Rfam family "Bacterial small subunit ribosomal RNA", at positions 1 to 917 of the family's 1533-position model. The record is from RNAcentral. Lineage: Bacteria; Bacillati; Bacillota.
UGGAUCCAGACUUUGAUCCUGGCUCAGGACGAACGCUGGCGGCGUGCCUAAUACAUGCAAGUCGAACGAAGCUUUCUUUCACCGAAUGCUUGCAUUCACCGAAAGAAGCUUAGUGGCGAACGGGUGAGUAACACGUAGGCAACCUGCCCAAAAGAGGGGGAUAACACUUGGAAACAGGUGCUAAUACCGCAUAACCAUGAACACCGCAUGAUGUUCAUGUAAAAGACGGCUUUUGCUGUCACUUUUGGAUGGGCCUGCGGCGUAUUAACUUGUUGGUGGGGUAACGGCCUACCAAGGUGAUGAUACGUAGCCGAACUGAGAGGUUGAUCGGCCACAUUGGGACUGAGACACGGCCCAAACUCCUACGGGAGGCAGCAGUAGGGAAUCUUCCACGAUGGACGAAAGUCUGAUGGGGCAACGCCGCGUGAAUGAAGAAGGCCUUCGGGUCGUAAAAUUCUGUUGUCAGAGAAGAACGUGCGUGAGAGUAACUGUUCACGUAUUGACGGUAUCUGACCAGAAAGCCACAGCUAACCACGUGCCAGCAGCCGCGGUAAUACGUAGGUGGCGAGCGUUGUCCGGAUUUAUUGGGCGUAAAGGGAACGCAGGCGGUCUUUUAAGUCUGAUGUGAAAGCCUUCGGCUUAACCGAAGUAGUGCAUUGGAAACUGGAAGACUUGAGUGCAGAAGAGGAGAGUGGAACUCCAUGUGUAGCGGUGAAAUGCGUAGAUAUAUGGAAGAACACCAGUGGCGAAAGCGGCUCUCUGGUCUGUAACUGACGCUGAGGUUCGAAAGCGUGGGUAGCAAACAGGAUUAGAUACCCUGGUAGUCCACGCCGUAAACGAUGAGUGCUAAGUGUUGGAGGGUUUCCGCCCUUCAGUGCUGCAGCUAACGCAUUAAGCACCCCGCCUGGGGAGUACGGUCGCAAGACUGCAACUCAAAGGAAUUGACGGA